This 1810-nucleotide ribosomal RNA is filed under the name seawater metagenome. RNAcentral describes it as "bacterial LSU rRNA". It matches the Rfam family "Bacterial large subunit ribosomal RNA", at positions 1 to 1976 of the family's 2925-position model. The record is from RNAcentral.
UAAAGCACAAAGAAGGGCGUUUGGCGGAUGCCUUGGCGUCAAGAGGCGAUGAAGGACGUGGCACGCUGCGAAAAGCCAUGGGGAGCCGCGAGCAGGCUUUGAUCCAUGGAUAUCCGAAUGGGGAAACCCGGCUCUUAUGAGUCAUCCCUGACUGAAUACAUAGGUCAGGGAAGCAAACCCGGCGAAUUGAAACAUCUCAGUAGCCGGAGGAAAGGACAUCAACCGAGACUCUGUUAGUAGCGGCGAGCGAACGCGGACCAGGCCAGUGGCGCUUGGAUUUAAACCGGAACCGUCUGGAAAGUCGGGCCAUAGCGGGUGAUAGCCCCGUACGGGUAAAAAAUCCUUGCGUCCUCGAGUAGGGCGGAACACGUGAAAUUCUGUCUGAACAUGGGGGGACCACCCUCCAAGCCUAAGUACUCCUUGACGACCGAUAGCGCACAAGUACCGUGAGGGAAAGGUGAAAAGUACCCCUAGCGGGGAGUGAAACAGACCUGAAACCGAACGCCUACAAGCAGUGGGAGCCCGUAAGGGUGACCGCGUACCUUUUGUAUAAUGGGCCAGCGAGUUAGUCUCUCGAGCAAGCUUAAGCCGUUAGGCGUAGGCGGAGCGAAAGCGAGUCUGAAUAGGGCGACAGAGUUCGAGGGAUUAGACCCGAAGCCGAGCGAUCUAGCCAUGGGCAGGUUGAAGGUGCAGUGACAUGCACUGGAGGACCGAACCCACCUCUGUUGAAAAAGGGGGGGAUGACCUGUGGUUAGGGGUGAAAGGCCAAUCAAGCUCGGCGAUAGCUGGUUCUCCGCGAAAGCUAUUUAGGUAGCGCGUCAUGUAUUGCCAUCGGGGGUAGAGCACUGGAUAGGCUAGGGGGCCGCGAGGCUUACCAAACUUAACCAAACUCCGAAUACCGAUGAGUAUGAGCAUGGCAGACAGACUACGGGUGCUAAGGUCCGUAGUCGAGAGGGAAACAGCCCUGACCUUCAGCUAAGGCCCCUAAAUCACGACUAAGUGGGAAAGGAUGUGGGACAGCCAAGACAGCCAGGAGGUUGGCUUAGAAGCAGCCAUCCUUUAAAGAAAGCGUAACAGCUCACUGGUCUAAAUAAGGGUUCCUGCGGCGAAGAUGUAACGGGGCUAAAGAUAUGCACCGAAGCUUAGGGUUCAGAAUUUAUUCUGAGCGGUAGCGGAGCGUUCCGUAAGUGGUUGAAGCCGAAGGGUAACCGACGGUGGACAUAUCGGAAGUGCGAAUGCUGACAUGAGUAGCGACAAACAGGGUGAGAUGCCCUGUCGCCGAAAGACCAAGGGUUCCUGCUCAACGCUAAUCGGAGCAGGGUUAGCCGGCCCCUAAGACGAGCCCGAAGGGGGUAGUCGAUGGGAACCACGUAAAUAUUCGUGGGCCUGAAGAUGUGUGACGGAUCGUGGAAGUUGUUCGACCUUAUUGGAUUGGUCGGGCAGCCAAGCGGUUCCAGGAAAUAGCCUCUUCAAUAUAGACCGUACCCGAAACCGACACAGGUGGUCAGGUAGAGUAUACCAAGGCGCUUGAGAGAAGUAUCCUGAAGGAACUCGGCAAAUUGCCUCCGUACCUUCGGAAGAAGGAGGCCCUCUCAUUACGCAAGUAGUGUGGAGGGGGCACAGGCCAGGGGGUAGCGACUGUUUAGCAAAAACACAGCACUCUGCUAAGUCGGCUUCAAGACGACGUAUAGGGUGUGACGCCUGCCCGGUGCUCGAAGGUUAAGAGGAGGAGUGCAAGCUCCGAAUUGAAGCCCGAGUAAACGGCGGCCGUAACUAUAACGGUCCUAAGGUAGCGAAAUUCCUUGUCGGG